This 332-nucleotide unclassified non-coding RNA is filed under the name soil metagenome. RNAcentral describes it as "partial contains 5.8S ribosomal RNA, internal transcribed spacer 2, and large subunit ribosomal RNA". The stretch from base 1 to 120 matches the Rfam family "5.8S ribosomal RNA", at positions 35 to 154 of the family's 154-position model. The record is from RNAcentral.
GAUGAAGAACGCAGCGAAACGCGAUAGCUAGUGUGAAUUGCAGAUUUUCGUGAAUCAUCGAGUCUUUGAACGCACAUUGCGCCCCCUGGUAUUCCGGGGGGCAUGCCUAUUCGAGCGUCGUGGUCACGCUUCAAGCCCGGCUUGAUGAUGGGGAACGCCCUCUCUCGGGGGGGGGCCUCCUUCAAAUGCAACUCCAGACGCCUCGUUGGCUGGGAGCGCAGCAGCAGUGCGCUUCCCCGAGGCGAUCGGAUGCCCCUCGUGGGCUCGAGAUUGCUAGACCUCGAAUUAGGCAGGGAUACCCGCUGAACUUAAGCAUAUCAAUAAGCGGAGGA